This 253-nucleotide ribosomal RNA is filed under the name uncultured bacterium. RNAcentral describes it as "partial 16S ribosomal RNA". It matches the Rfam family "Bacterial small subunit ribosomal RNA", at positions 524 to 776 of the family's 1533-position model. The record is from RNAcentral.
UACGUAGGGGGCGAGCGUUGUCCGGAUUUACUGGGCGUAAAAGGUUCGUAGGUGGCUCGUCCAGUCGGACGUGAAAUCUCCCGGCUUAACUGGGAGGGGUCGUUCAAUACUAGCGGGCUCGAGGCCGGUAGAGGGAAGCGGAAUUCCGGGUGUAGUGGUGGAAUACGUAGAUAUCCGGAGGAACACCAGUGGCGAAGGCGGCUUCCUGGACCGGUUCUGACACUGAGGAACGAAAGCGUGGGGAGCGAUCCGG